RNAcentral lists this ribosomal RNA (253 nucleotides) under uncultured bacterium. RNAcentral describes it as "partial 16S ribosomal RNA". It matches the Rfam family "Bacterial small subunit ribosomal RNA", at positions 524 to 776 of the family's 1533-position model. The record is from RNAcentral.
UACGUAGGGUGCGAGCGUUGCUCGGAAUUACUGGGCGUAAAGCACAUGUAGGCGGAUAUGUUAGUUGGAAGUGCAAUCCCCGGGCUCAACUCGGGAACUGCUUCCAAUACUGCGUAUCUUGAGUAUGAUAGGGGAUAGUGGAAUUUCUAGUGUAGGGGUAAAAUCCGUAGAUAUUAGAAGGAACACCGAAAGCGAAGGCAGCUAUCUGGGUCAUUACUGACGCUGAGAUGUGAAAGCGUGGGGAGCAAACAGG